GAUGAGGUGGCCGAGUGGUUAAGGCGAUGGACUGCUGGACCAUUGUGCUAUGCACACAUGGGUUCAAAUCCCAUCCUCGUCG
Molecule: non-coding RNA, 82 nt
Organism: Pseudophryne corroboree (corroboree frog)
Lineage: Eukaryota; Metazoa; Chordata; Amphibia; Anura; Myobatrachidae
Source: the annotation of a RefSeq genome assembly